GUGAAGACUUUUUCCUGAGGGAGAAUAUACAGCAUGAAGCUGUAGCCUGUCCUAGUGGUGCACCUGUGCCUGCCAGGUCCUCCUAAAUCACCAAUUUCAGAGUCCCAGAGAAGGAAUGAGACCAUUAAGUCCAUAGCAUACCAGGACAAUAAUGCCCUUAAGAGCAUACCCUACAAAUGGACUUCUGGCCUCAGGUUGAAGAAUUCUGGGGAGGAAACAACCUACUACCUUCAGAGGAAGCACCUUCUACUUUGGGCAAAGUCAUUUAAUGUGGUUUACCUCAGUUUCCUCAUCUGCAAAAUGAACUGGAGAAAGAAAUGGCAAAACACUUCAACGUCUUUUCCAAGAAAAUCCCAAAUUGGGUCAAGAGGAGGUGAACAUAACUGAACAGUAGAACAAGAGAAUCACAUUUGUCACCCCUGUCUGUGCAUUGUCUGAUGUUGGAGGGAUGUGAAUGAAGAUCCAGAACUGGUCAGAUUCCAGAGUUGCUUGCCUCUUAGGAAAGUUGACCUCAGCUCAAUUGAUGGAUUCACUACCUCCUUGUAACAGUUUCUCAGCUGAAGUGUUUUCAGGUGUGAGUUUCCUAAUGGAAUGCUGGGAUUUGUGUCUGCCAUAUGGUGUCAACAGCAACAUCUGCAUCAACAUCUUCUGGAUAAUAAGCUCUCCUUGUCCUUUAACUGAAUUAGAAGAAAGACUACCGCAAUGGACUAGAAGCACUGGCAUCCCAACGAACUUUCUGAUGUUAGAUGAAAAGACAUGCAAGGGCACAAGAAGAAGCAUUUUAUAGAGGGGAUGAAGUUCUCUGUGUGUGUAUGUAUUAUUUGGAUAGUAACUGAUCUCAGACCCAGGAAAAUUUGGAUUCAAGCCUUGCCUUUGAUGCAUCCUGGUCGUGUGACCCUGGAGAGGACACUUAACUUCUCAGAGCUCGAGACAUCUCUGAGAUGAAGUUGCAAAGAAGAAAUGAAAUGUUAUCCUUUUCUGAGAAGCUAGAUUCAUUCAGGCACCGAGUUUUCUAGCUCAAGGAUAGAGUCCUUUUGAAUCAGCCUUUAUUGAAAAGGUUAACUCCACUUAUACUUUCUAAAUCUAGAUGAAAAUAAAAUAAGUGAGUUGUUCCA
This 1115-nucleotide long non-coding RNA is filed under the name Monodelphis domestica (gray short-tailed opossum). Its description in RNAcentral is "lncRNA (ENSMODG00000030599.2)". Lineage: Eukaryota; Metazoa; Chordata; Mammalia; Didelphimorphia; Didelphidae. The record is from RNAcentral.